This 96-nucleotide ribosomal RNA is filed under the name uncultured bacterium. RNAcentral's name for it is "partial 16S ribosomal RNA". It matches the Rfam family "Bacterial small subunit ribosomal RNA", at positions 1388 to 1482 of the family's 1533-position model. The record is from RNAcentral.
CACCGCCGUCACACCAUGGGAGUCGAUUGCUCCAGAAGUGGCUGCGCCAACCCGCAAGGGAGGCAGGUCCCCAAGGAGUGCUCGGUAACUGGGGUG